GAAUCUACAGUGAAUUUGUUCGAGGGGGCUAAGUUAUUAAGUUGUGGCAGGAAAGCUUUUAGGUCUUCAUUACUUGGCCAGAGACAUAAUACUGUACAUCAUCUACAUAUUACCAGUAGAUAGUUAACAAUUUCUGGGGUUGGUGUAAAAUUUCCACAAAAGGGUCAAAAUCCGAUCGGUUUAUCCGCUCACUGGAUCUCAGCCAAUCAGAGACCUCAAAACAAACUCAAGUGUGACGUCGUAGGUUUAUCCAAUCACAGACGCCCGCACAAGGGCUUUCGUGCUGCCACGCUGUUUUAUGUGUGUGGAAGCCACCAGCCACCAGUCUGGAUUUUAUUUGGGAAAAACUUCAUAUAUUUAGAGCCCAAAAUAUGCCUCGUUCACGGCGUCAUCGUUCAAGUACUGAACGCAGUCGCAGCCGCACCAGGGAUCGGGAUCGAGACAGAAGACGAAGGCGACUUGAGGACUCUCAGAGUUAUUCUUCCAGGCACCGGAGUAGAUCUUCACGUACUAGAGGAGUUCUCCUGCACGACACCCGUCUACCGUGACCGUGAUCGACA
Homarus americanus (American lobster) is the source of this 560-nucleotide long non-coding RNA. RefSeq lists it as uncharacterized. NCBI's taxonomy places the organism in Eukaryota, Metazoa, Arthropoda, Malacostraca, Decapoda, Nephropidae. The record is from RefSeq and is a predicted model, not a curated record. The transcript is spliced from 3 exons.